GAGUUCCGGCGGGCCCAGGUCCCCUCUCCUCCUGCAGCCCUGGGCCCGGGCUCCGCUGCGUCUGGCGCUGCAAGACCUGCGCGCCGAGAUCCCGGGGCGAGGGACCCUGGGCGGCGCGAUCUGCACAGCGCCGAGCCUGCAUCGCGCCCCCGCCAGGACCAGAGCCGCGCCGCGGUGGAGUCCUGAGCGCCCCCGAGCGGUCACGUGUGCGGCGGCGACCCAAGAAUUUGAAAGAGUCGCGGAAAACUGCACUCAUCAUAGAGCAUCUGAAGGUUCCUAGAGGGAGCUGUGAACGGUUAACAAAAAACACGGCCAUGGGGUCCCCUGGUGGCGUUUUGAAGGGCGACCCCUCCCCUACCCCAGCGCGGCCUGUGGCUCUUUGUUUACAAUUUCAUAAA
Molecule: long non-coding RNA, 398 nt
Filed under: Homo sapiens (human)
Lineage: Eukaryota; Metazoa; Chordata; Mammalia; Primates; Hominidae
Description: non-protein coding lnc-OR2V2-2:1
Source: RNAcentral